GUCUCUGACAUAUUUACCCCGAGGGACCAUCAGGGACCAGUAGAGGGCGAAGAGGGACUUGCUGGUCUCUGGCCCCUUCCUUUCCUACAAACUGGCCCCCGUCCUAGCCAUGAAGGCAGAAAGGUAUGGUUUUACUAUGUAGCCCAGGCUAGUCCAGGACCCUUCAGCUUCAGCCUCUUUCCUGCUGGGUUUGCAAGCAAGCACCAACAUGCCCAUUUUAAAUUUCUUUCAUUUUGUCAUUAUAUAAGAGAAUGCGCUGUGACUGGAGAGAUGACUCGGCUGUUAAGAGCAAAUACUGCUUCUCCAGAGGACCCGAGUUCAGUUCCCGGCACCCACAAUGGGCAGCUACAACCAUCUGUAACCCCAGCUCCAUAGAUUCAACUAUGUUUUCUGGCCUCCGUGGGCACUACACUGGCAUGGCAUACACAGACACACAUUUGAAAAUUAAAAAAAAUAAACAUAUAGAUAAAA
Long non-coding RNA from Alexandromys fortis (reed vole), 471 nucleotides. RefSeq lists it as uncharacterized. The transcript is spliced from 2 exons. Lineage: Eukaryota; Metazoa; Chordata; Mammalia; Rodentia; Cricetidae. The record is from RefSeq and is a predicted model, not a curated record.